GUCUUUCUCCAGCUCUGCUUCUUCCUCUGGCUCUUCAUCAGGUGGAGGAGAACGUGGAGAAAAGGGAGACAAAGGCUUGAAGGGCAGUUCUGGGUUUGGUUACCCAGGCUCCAAGGGGGACCGUGGC
This is a long non-coding RNA of Oncorhynchus masou masou (cherry salmon), 127 nucleotides long. RefSeq lists it as uncharacterized. The transcript has 3 exons. The record is from RefSeq and is a predicted model, not a curated record. Lineage: Eukaryota; Metazoa; Chordata; Actinopteri; Salmoniformes; Salmonidae.